CAGUCGGGGCCUUUUCAGAGGUGGCUGGAUCUUUAAUGUGUGGCGCUGGGUUUGAUUAGGAUCAAGGGCACUAGGUUUAAAGAUGUGAGCGCUACCUAUUCUAGGUAGCCUGAAUAAGAUACAAGGGAAAGAAAAGGCCGUGGUUGUCCCUUGUGGCUUUGCUACCUUCUGCCUGCCAUGAGCUGUUUCUCCUCUGCGUGCUUACCUACCCUGCUGCUCUACCUUGGAGCCAGUAAAUUUUGGACUGAAACUUCUACAAACCCAAAGUAACUGAAGUAGUACAGUGCUGCACUAGCCUAAAGAAGCUAAACUCUGAGACCUAAAGUCUUAUUUGAAGGUUGCUCCAGAAACAAAAUACACUCCAAAGAAGGCUCUCCCUGUGUGUCCUGUUACUAUACAUAGCAUUUAUAGGACAAGGAGGCUUCAACUCCAACUCCGGCAGAGAAGCCCACAGAGACUGCAAGAUUUCCCAUCUCCCAGGAAACUCCUUUUACAAGGGGAAUCGCUCAUUGACAGAUCAGCCCUGGAAGACUUCAGGGCUAUGUGGCUUGGCUGACCCAGGAACACCUCAUAAAGAAAACACUCAGCUCCGAUGGUGUCUCUUACUGGCUGCCGUUCUCCUCCAUGCAUGUGAAUUUUAAAUACCACCACACUCUCUCUGGGUGAUCUGUUGCAAUUUCUUCAAACUGAAGCAACAUCAAUAAUAAAAGCAGCACUAUGAUGUGAAGAGUAGUCACAAAACCGGGCUUAACCCUAUUUCUUCACUUGGAUCUUGAUGGCAAUAGAAAAUGAGAAUUUAAUUUCUCCAUGAAGAAGGAAAAAAUUAAAGGAAAUUAUAACUGGUGCUCAGUAUUGGUCUACGUUGCUGACUGGUUGGACAUUCAAAGGUAGCAGUAACUGAGUCAGACCAGUAGCCUCCAAUCCACUGUGGCCACUUCAUUCAUCUGUCCAUCAUGCCCACCUAGGGUGGCUGAUGAUGAGGUCUGGCUAAUACCAAGUAGUGUACAGUUCCUGUGCUGGCCAACUUGUGCUUUGUUAGCAAAUGUAACAUUAAUUGGAAACUGGACUUCCUGCUGGCGAGACACACAGAAGGAAGCCCGGGUGCACCUGGACUCAGGCUCCCCUCCGGGAAGGAUGCUGGAGCCAAGACUUCAGUGAUUAAAUAAGCUCCUGGCAAGAGAGAGAAUAAGAGGAUGGAAGAAUAUUCUAGACACCGACAGCACUGGCAAAGAACAGAGGCAUGAAAAUAGGGCCCGGCCAGCAAGAGCACAGGAUACAUGACAGAGCUGUUACAGAGCCUCGAUGCCUGGCCUUAGAGUUUUCCUGUUCUUUUUUGAACCACCACACCCACACGCCACAACUGACAGUGAAAAAGAGACAGAAGGACAGACGCAUCCUAAUGACAAGAGACACGUGCCUUCCUGUUUCUAGUGACUGCCGUCAUCAGAGGAGAGGACCAGAGCCCUGGACGGAAGAACCAAAGUUCAUGAGAGACUAUUCUCAGAUUUCUCCCUUUUCUAUUUAAAUACAUCAAACUGGAAAUUCAUAACUUACUCUAAAAGGGUGAGGACUGAUCAAAAAGAACUGAUCAUUUAAAUUAACAACCAGACUCAGGCAAUGAAAGAAUCUGUUUCCAAAAGCAACAUCAUUCCCCUUCCGUUUAUCUCCUAAAUCAUGUGCAUUUGAAACUCAUGUUUUUAUUUCAGAAAAAAACUUUUGAGCUUCCUUGCUUUUUUUUCCAUUCUGAUUAUCACCAGAUGCCUUCCGUGGCUCUGGUGCAUUGGAGGUUUUACUUUUUUCUUUGCACUGAUACUCGAGCCUUGGAUUGUUUGUCUUUGCCUUGGACCCGUGUGCAGGGACUCAGUUUACCAGCACUCCUAAGCUGUCUGCUGAUGACUGAUGGCAGCCAGCUUCCAGGAGGAAAUCUCUCUGCUCCCCUGCUCUCUCCCAAGGGUAGUGAGGUUGCAUCCUUCUUUAUUUCCUAAGGACCUGGAGUGGCAGGGCAGGUUCCCAAUUGGUACUGACCCUCUCUCAAUGGUUAAGGAAUCCCCGUGGGCCAAGAGAUGCCAGGCAUGGCCACUAGUAAUUCCCUAUUCUUUCCACUGCCUCCAAGCUCUCAUCCGCAUCCCAGGGGAAGAAGUCCAACUACAUCUUUCUGUAACAGUUUUUCGAUAUUCACAACACUGAUGACCUCUAAUUUCUAAGGCUUUUCCACACACCAACUAGGUAUCCUACCACUCAAUUCUGAUACUACUUGAGAUUAGCCCAGACCAUAUAUGUUAAUGGCUCGGGCCUAAAAAAUUGUCCCCACCCAACUUCAGAAUCAGCCUCAAAUCCAAAGACUUGGAUUUUACUAUAAUGCUUUGUGUAGUUAAUUUGGUUGAGUUUUUACAGCUGACGAACUUUGCAAAGUUGAUAUAUAUAAAAUAUAAGAUCUGAAAAAACAGGUACUCUAAGUAUGAUUAUGGAAUUCUUGAUUGCCUUGAGAGUGCUCUUGGUUUCUGUGGGCCUGCAUCCCUAUGAGUAAUUCUUCAAUAACUUUUCUUUGUUGGAACACAUGUGAAACAUUUCUUCUUACACUGUGUGGUGAGAUCAUAAGGCCCUGGUGCCAACGCAGUUACUACAGAAACAUCCAGGAACAGCACAAGGUCACACUGACUGCAUGAAUCAGACUUAGGUAAAAUUCUAAAAUUAUGUGAAUGAAAGCAUAAAGUCUAGAUCUCUACAUCUCUUGAGAUGAGUGUGAUUAUCUUUGUUUCCAGAAAAGGUAAGUUAGCACAGAGAGGCGAAGCAGUGUAUGUGUACUGCACAGUGAAUGUUAGAAAGAUGUGAGACCUAGAACUUGGUCUCCUGACUCUAAUCUCUAAUCUCUGUCCCCUCUAGGAGAGUUUGUUUUUUGUUUUCAAGCCUGACUGAGCAAACCAAGGUAGAACUAUUGAUUCUUUCUUUUGGGAUUCAACAAGUUUAUCUGUGAAGCAGAGAAAUGAACUAGUAGUCUAUGGGGGCAUUUAUGACAAGCUAUUGUGGAUUUUUGGGUUUUCUAGUAAUAAUAAUAUAUUUUAGAGCCAAAUGAGAAUCUUAGAUGUGGAAUUAUUCCCUAUGUAUGGAGAGAAUUUUCAUUUGGAGCUAUCAAGAAAUGAAUAUCAGAUGAACUUCAGAGUACUGUAUUUCUGAUUUGAUAAAUUAAUAAGAGAACAUAGUUGAUAGCAACUGAUUUUUUUCUACUGGGAAAUCAAAUCUACCAUCCAUGCCCAUAUCGUAUAGAACAUCUCACAUGUGUGAUGAGAAAGGGGCACAGGAUUCGGCCUGAGUUUUUGUGACAGGACACUGGUAAAUAAAAGGAAGUACAAUCCUUAGGUAAUAUUAGUUAUCUUUUAAAGUGUUAUACCUAAGUGUAUGGGCUUCAUGGGAACACUUUAACUUAGAAAUGUAAACAGGGCUGUGUUAGCUGCAAUAUAUACAAUAUACUACUUAUAUCAUAAAUUUGAGAAUUUAUAGUACAUAAAACAACUUUAAUGAUGAAUUCAAUAUUUAAUAAUUGGAAAUGAAUGUUGAACAAUUAUUCUUUA
Cavia porcellus (domestic guinea pig) is the source of this 3569-nucleotide long non-coding RNA. RefSeq lists it as uncharacterized. The record is from RefSeq and is a predicted model, not a curated record. The transcript is spliced from 10 exons. Lineage: Eukaryota; Metazoa; Chordata; Mammalia; Rodentia; Caviidae.